Molecule: ribosomal RNA, 455 nt
Filed under: Clostridioides difficile
Lineage: Bacteria; Bacillati; Bacillota; Clostridia; Peptostreptococcales; Peptostreptococcaceae
Description: bacterial SSU rRNA
Rfam family: Bacterial small subunit ribosomal RNA
Source: RNAcentral
CCCGCAACGAGCGCAACCCUUGUCUUUAGUUGCCAUCAUUAAGUUGGGCACUCUAGGGAGACUGCCAGGGAUAACCUGGAGGAAGGUGGGGAUGACGUCAAAUCAUCAUGCCCCUUAUGCUUAGGGCUACACACGUGCUACAAUGGGUAGUACAGAGGGUUGCCAAGCCGUAAGGUGGAGCUAAUCCCUUAAAGCUACUCUCAGUUCGGAUUGUAGGCUGAAACUCGCCUACAUGAAGCUGGAGUUACUAGUAAUCGCAGAUCAGAAUGCUGCGGUGAAUGCGUUCCCGGGUCUUGUACACACCGCCCGUCACACCACGGGAGUUGGAGACGCCCGAAGCCGAUUAUCUAACCUUUUGGAAGAAGUCGUCGAAGGUGGAAUCAAUAACUGGGGUGAAGUCGUAACAAGGUAGCCGUAUCGGAAGGUGCGGCUGGAUCACCUCCUUUCUAAGGAGA